Molecule: long non-coding RNA, 288 nt
Organism: Propithecus coquereli (Coquerel's sifaka)
Lineage: Eukaryota; Metazoa; Chordata; Mammalia; Primates; Indriidae
Exons: 3
Source: RefSeq, a predicted model, not a curated record
GCCAACUCGCUGACAGUUCCGAGUGUGCGGACAGCUCAGGACUCCGGAACUAGUGAGCACCAUGAAAUAAAAACACCAUACAAUUCAACAGUUUUGUAGAAAUCCUGUCAAAGAGUAUGAAGAAAAACAGAGAAAGAUUCGGCCACAGAGAGCGGGAAUUUGUGUAUAAAUUCAAAGUAGGAAGUCAGUGUUUAGAACUGAGGGUGCCACUCCAAUUUCCUGUUCAAGAGAAUGCCAGUCAUUUGCAUGGACGCCUGAUGCUGCUGCACAAUUUACCGUGCUUUAUAG